This 219-nucleotide unclassified non-coding RNA is filed under the name uncultured fungus. Its description in RNAcentral is "partial contains 18S rRNA, ITS1 and 5.8S rRNA". Lineage: Eukaryota; Fungi. The record is from RNAcentral.
AGGUGAACCUGCGGAAGGAUCAUUAGUGAAUUGAAUAUGUUAGCGGACCUCUUCGGAGUCCCUAGCAUCAAAUCAUAUCCAUAACACCUGUGAACUGUAAGGCUGUCUUGAAAACGAAAGUGAUUAGAGCGCCUGCCCAUUUUAUACAAACAUUAAAGUAACAAACGUAGUCUUAUUAUAAUCUAAUAAAACUUUCAACAACGGAUCUCUUGGCUCUCG